RNAcentral lists this ribosomal RNA (435 nucleotides) under uncultured bacterium. RNAcentral describes it as "bacterial SSU rRNA". It matches the Rfam family "Bacterial small subunit ribosomal RNA", at positions 30 to 465 of the family's 1533-position model. The record is from RNAcentral.
AUUGAACGCUGGCGGCAUGCCUUACACAUGCAAGUCGAACGGCAGCACGGGAGCAAUCCUGGUGGCGAGUGGCGAACGGGUGAGUAAUAUAUCGGAACGUGCCCAGUCUGGGGGAUAACGUAGCGAAAGCUACGCUAAUACCGCAUACGAUCUAUGGAGUGAAAGCGGGGGAUCGCAAGACCUCGCGCGAUUGGAGCGGCCGAUAUCAGAUUAGGUAGUUGGUGAGGUAAAGGCUCACCAAGCCGACGAUCUGUAGCUGGUCUGAGAGGACGACCAGCCACACUGGGACUGAGACACGGCCCAGACUCCUACGGGAGGCAGCAGUGGGGAAUUUUUGGGACAAUGGGCGCAAGCCUGAUCCAGCAAUGCCGCGUGCAGGAUGAAGGCCUCGGUUGUAACUAGCUUUUGUUACGGUAACGAAACCGGUAAAGACGU